AAUCAACGCUGGCGGCGUGCCUCAGACAUGCAAGUCGAACGCGAAAGGCUCCUUCGGGGGCCGAGUAGAGUGGCGCACGGGUGAGUAACACGUAGGUAAUUUGCCUUUGGGUGGGGAAUAACUCAGGGAAACUUGAGCUAAUACCGCAUAAUGCAGCGGCUCGACAUCGAGACAGUUGUUAAAGCGGGGGAUUCGCAAGAACCUCGCGCCUGAAGAGAAGCCUGCGGCAGAUUAGCUAGUUGGUAGGGUAAUGGCCUACCAAGGCAACGAUCUGUAACCGGCCUGAGAGGGCGGUCGGUCACACUGACACUGACAUACGGGUCAGACUCCUACGGGAGGCAGCAGUCGGGAAUUUUGGACAAUGGGCGAAAGCCUGAUCCAGCCAUGCCGCGUGAGUGAUGAAGGCCCUAGGGUUGUAAAGCUCUUUCGGCGGGGACGAUAAUGACGGUACCCGCAGAAGAAGCCCGGCUAACUUCGUGCCAGCCGCCGCCGUAAU
RNAcentral lists this ribosomal RNA (496 nucleotides) under uncultured bacterium. RNAcentral's name for it is "bacterial SSU rRNA". It matches the Rfam family "Bacterial small subunit ribosomal RNA", at positions 32 to 524 of the family's 1533-position model. The record is from RNAcentral.